ACAUUUUGAUCCAUGUAAAAAUCUAAAAACAGGUUACAAGGAUAAACUGUACAUGCAUCUUAUUUUAGAAAUCUUCUUUUGAAUUAACAGUACAUGCAUCUUUUUUUUAUUAAUAAUUGUUUGAACACUUCUCAGGAAGGUUGUCACACAUUUCAAGGAGGUUUCUAGAAUUACUUCAGUAUGGGUGAGUGUACUUUGCCAAAUGAUAACUUGAUUGCAACUUGUCUUAUAUCUAAAUGAUUUUUUUAAUCACCUAUAUUUGUUGCUGCCUUGAACUAGAACUGAAUGUUAGCAUACUGAGUGAAUAGUAGCCAUAUGAAAGAAAAACUAGACACAGUUUUUUGUGUAGUCCUGAUUUCAUUAUCAAGAUAAGUAAAUAUUCUGAAUUAUGGGUUCAGCAGCAGUAACUGAGACAGUUUUUAAAUAGUUUAUGUUCAAAAAAUACACCGUGGCUUGCUGUCAGAUGACGUGGUCACAUGGUCGUAAUAAAGUUGAAGGUAGCUAAUUACUGUAAUAUUGUACUUCAUUCGUCUAGAAAUGAGUCCUACUUUUGUUAUUGACUUUUUUUUUCUUCGAAUAUUGAGUUUCUUCAUUAUUUGUCAAUAAUUUUUUGAAGUAAUAAAUCUUAAUUUUAAAGUUUAUUAUUGAAAAAAAAUCCAAAAAAUUAUGUGCGUCUUCUUUGACAAUUUUUUGCUUCUAGGUUGUUGAGUAUGAUCUUGAUGACUGGUGAUCAUCCCUUGUAUAUAUAGAUAUACAUACAAGUUGAUGAGUAACCGUCCUUUCUAUCAUUCUUGUCAAGUUGUACUGGAUUAAACAUAUAGUAUACUUAAUUGUGUUUGAUAAUAAACAUCAUCAUUAACAAACAAAAUAAGUAUUCUUGACUUAUUUUGUUUUAUGGGCCUAAUGGAAUAUGACAGUACUCAGUACUCUUUAUUAGCUUCAUACUUCAAUCCCAUGGACUAUAUAGUCUAUGGAUUAGUAAUCCUAUCACUAUUUUAUCCUUUAAAAAAUAGUCCUUUUCCAUGCUCUUUUGCUCUUAUAUUCUCCCACUUCUGCAACAUUGCUACUUAAUCAUUUAUAUACUAUAAAUUUUCUUCUUACUGGUAUAGAAAUAUAAUAGAAGAAAUAUUUUCCAUAUGGUACUGCAUGAUAUCAGUAUAGUGUUCCUUGGUGGCUUUUUUGUCUUCAAGUUUAGAUUUGUUUAGAGGCCUUCAGGUACAGUGGUAUGCUAAGUGUUCUUGCACUAUUUAGGUACAGUGGUGUGCAAGAUUUAUAUUAAGCUAAUCUCUUGAAAUUAUAUGCAGUUGAUGUUUGCUUGCAAAAAGAACAGAGAUCAUUUGAUGUGCCUCAUUUGCUGCCGGUCGAGUUUAGAAUGGGUACAUACAUCCAGGUCAGAGCUUCGCCAGAUAUCUUAGAAUUUGGCGAUGCUCGACUGUUGGGAAGCAGAUGGAUGUGA
RNAcentral lists this long non-coding RNA (1456 nucleotides) under Panax ginseng (ginseng). Its description in RNAcentral is "long non-coding RNA (PGIN_LNC007079)". Lineage: Eukaryota; Viridiplantae; Streptophyta; Magnoliopsida; Apiales; Araliaceae. The record is from RNAcentral.